RNAcentral lists this ribosomal RNA (460 nucleotides) under uncultured bacterium. RNAcentral describes it as "partial 16S ribosomal RNA". It matches the Rfam family "Bacterial small subunit ribosomal RNA", at positions 338 to 795 of the family's 1533-position model. The record is from RNAcentral.
CCUACGGGCGGCUGCAGUGAGGAAUAUUGGUCAAUGGGCGGGAGCCUGAACCAGCCAAGUCGCGUGAGGGAAGACGGUCCUAUGGAUUGUAAACCUCUUUAGGCGGGGAGCAAUGCCGGGCACGCGUGCCCGGGGGGAGAGUACCCGCAGACUACGCAUCGGCUCACUCCGUGCCAGCCGCCGCGGUAAUACGGAGGAUGCGAGCGUUAUCCGGAUUUGUUGGGUUUAAAGGGUGCGUAGGCGGAUUUUUAAGUCAGCGGUAAAAUGUCCGGGCUCAACCCGGGCCGGCCGUUGAAACUGGGGAUCUUGAGUGGGCGAGAAGUAUGCGGAAUGCGUGGUGUAGCGGUGAAAUGCAUAGAUAUCACGCAGAACUCCGAUUGCGAAGGCAGCAUACCGGCGCCCGACUGACGCUGAGGCACGAAAGCGUGGGGAUCGAACAGGAUUAGAUACCCUGGUAGUC